GAUGAACGCUGGCGGCGUGCUUAACACAUGCGAGUCGAACGGAAAGGCUCCUGCUUGCAGGGGUACUCGAGUGGCGAACGGGUGAGUAACACGUGGGUGAUCUGCCCUGCACUUCGGGAUAAGCCUGGGAAACUGGGUCUAAUACCGGAUAGGACCACAUUUUGGAUGGUGUGGUGGAAAGUUUUUCGGUGUGGGAUGAGCUCGCGGCCUAUCAGCUUGUUGGUGGGGUAAUGGCCUACCAAGGCGUCGACGGGUAGCCGGCCUGAGAGGGUGUACGGCCACAUUGGGACUGAGAUACGGCCCAGACUCCUACGGGAGGCAGCAGUGGGGAAUAUUGCACAAUGGGCGCAAGCCUGAUGCAGCGACGCCGCGUGGGGGAUGACGGCCUUCGGGUUGUAAACUCCUUUCGCUAGGGACGAAGCGUUUUUGUGACGGUACCUGGAGAAGAAGCACCGGCUAACUACGUG
RNAcentral lists this ribosomal RNA (467 nucleotides) under uncultured bacterium. Its description in RNAcentral is "partial 16S ribosomal RNA". It matches the Rfam family "Bacterial small subunit ribosomal RNA", at positions 28 to 507 of the family's 1533-position model. The record is from RNAcentral.